CACUAAGAAGCUAAACCAGGGAAACAGCGUUAGCCUUUUAAGCUAAAGAUUGGUGACUCCCAACCACCCUUAGUGA
Molecule: transfer RNA, 76 nt
Filed under: Anguilla japonica (Japanese eel)
Lineage: Eukaryota; Metazoa; Chordata; Actinopteri; Anguilliformes; Anguillidae
Description: tRNA-Lys
Rfam family: tRNA
About the family: Transfer RNA (tRNA) molecules are approximately 80 nucleotides in length. Their secondary structure includes four short double-helical elements and three loops (D, anti-codon, and T loops).
Source: RNAcentral